GAGUGGGUUCAAACUAUGACUAUGGCAUUGGAUCCCAUCAAACCUCCAAAGUUUAAGUGUCCCUGGGCUUGAAUAGUAUUGGGCUGGGUGACCACCCGGGAAGUCCAAGUGACCCCCUCU
This 120-nucleotide ribosomal RNA is filed under the name Selaginella moellendorffii. The record is from RNAcentral. Lineage: Eukaryota; Viridiplantae; Streptophyta; Lycopodiopsida; Selaginellales; Selaginellaceae.